Molecule: microRNA precursor, 73 nt
Filed under: Petromyzon marinus (sea lamprey)
Lineage: Eukaryota; Metazoa; Chordata; Hyperoartia; Petromyzontiformes; Petromyzontidae
Description: Pma-Mir-181-P2o1_pre stem-loop
Source: RNAcentral
GACAUUCAGUGCUGUCGGUGGGUGUUGCGCGUGCCUGCCUCGAACACAUAACCCAGGGAGCACUGAAUGCACA